Long non-coding RNA from Scophthalmus maximus (turbot), 1361 nucleotides. RefSeq lists it as uncharacterized. The transcript has 2 exons. The record is from RefSeq and is a predicted model, not a curated record. NCBI's taxonomy places the organism in Eukaryota, Metazoa, Chordata, Actinopteri, Pleuronectiformes, Scophthalmidae.
UUGAUGCAAGGAUCAAAGGCACACACACUGCUGUGAUCUGGGAUCUCAUUGCAUAUGGGUGGUGGUGAAUCCUCUCAGAUGUGUGGGAUCUUCUCUCACUCUCUCCUUCUUGUUUGGAUUCUGACAGACACAUAUGUAGAAACUGUGAUGGACUGCAUCAAGAUUAACAGUCUAAACUCUAGAAAAUUUCAACAUGGAGCAGAAUCCCAAAGGAAUAUUUCCAACAUCUUGUGGAAUCAGUACCACGAUAAACUGAGGCUGUUUGGAGAGUAAAAGCAGAUCCCAGAGGUGCACAGAUGCUUCUUCGUACUGGUCGACCAACCUGUGGGUGUAAAGAUAAGUUGCAUGGAUCAUCUUGGUUUAAGGAAAGUCUUUUGCAACUCACAUUGAGCCAGAUAUUAAUGCCUUAGACUGACCUGACAUUUUGAUCACGGUCUGGCCCCACUAAUUUGUAAAACUCGUCAAAAGCUGCGAGGUCUGCAUCCGUCAGCAGUGGUGAUCCACCCACUCCCUGCUUCAGGUCCUGUCGCACAGUCUCGUCUCCCAGUCGGUCCAGGAUGAACUGCAGCUCCAGAACCGUCUUCAGUCUCCUCUGCUCUGCCUCCUCGCGCUGCAGCUGCUCCCGUCGUGCAGACUUCUUCACCACCUUCUGGAUCUAAUGACCACAUACACAAGUCACGUUUAGCUGCUUCAGAACAAAGGCCACUCUGAGGGAACAUUAUAAGAAAACCACAGUCAGCCUUACGUCUUGUCCCAGGGCAAUGAGAGUCUUCUGCAACUCUCGGGCGAAUUCCAAGUUAUACGUGAUCUCCUGGAAUUUGGAGAGCGCCUCCUAAAUAAAUGAAGAAGUAGACAUUUUACACAUUGCUAGGUUGUAAAAUAUUUAAAAUUGACAGGACUGUGUGUUUAUUUACAGACAGAUGCAGGCUUCAGUGUACCCACCAGCUGGUCCUGAUUGAGUCGCUCCCCUUUAUCCUUCCUGACUUGAUAAUCGUCCAGUUUGCCCUGUGGAAGACCAAUCAAAACAAUACAUUCAACACAUUGAGGGGAGAAAAUCUUGCUGCCUCUGAGUAAGAGAUGUAGCUAUAGUACAUGUAGCUAUGUAGAAGAUCUGGAAGAAAUGGCUGUCAAAGGUUCCUUACUUUUUUCUUCUCCAUGUUGCGGACCUUCUUGUCGAUGACACACAGCACUUGCUUCAGGACUUCUGACUGUCCACCAAGUUGAAAAUUGCCCAUAAACCCUGGAGCGGAUCCCACAUCUGGGCUGGCAGACUGCACUGCUCUGUUUGCAUUCAUCGCUGAGGGCAUCUAGAAUGUGAAGUAUGAAAGGAUAUGUUUAGACUGCAAUAAAGAGGAACUUUA